This 1058-nucleotide ribosomal RNA is filed under the name uncultured bacterium. Its description in RNAcentral is "bacterial SSU rRNA". It matches the Rfam family "Bacterial small subunit ribosomal RNA", at positions 336 to 1393 of the family's 1533-position model. The record is from RNAcentral.
CUCCUACGGGAGGCAGCAGUGAGGAAUAUUGGUCAAUGGACGAGAGUCUGAACCAGCCAAGUCGUCGUGAAGGAAGACGGAUCUAUGGUUUGUAAACUUCUUUAGUGCGGGAACAAAGCGGUGUCGUGACGCCGGAUGAGUGUACCGCAAGAAUAAGCAUCGGCUAACUCCGUGCCAGCAGCCGCGGUAAUACGGAGGAUGCGAGCGUUAUCCGGAUUUAUUGGGUUUAAAGGGAGCGCAGGCUGCGAGGCAAGUCAGCGGUCAAAUGUCGGGGCUCAACCCCGGCCUGCCGUUGAAACUGUUUUGCUAGAGUUCGAGUGAGGUAUGCGGAAUGCGUUGUGUAGCGGUGAAAUGCAUAGAUAUGACGCAGAACUCCGAUUGCGAAGGCAGCAUACCAACUCGCGACUGACGCUGAGGCUCGAAAGCGUGGGUAUCGAACAGGAUUAGAUACCCUGGUAGUCCACGCAGUAAACGAUGAAUACUAACUGUUCGGAGGGCGACCUCUGAGUGGUAAAGCGAAAGCGUUAAGUAUUCCACCUGGGGAGUACGCCGGCAACGGUGAAACUCAAAGGAAUUGACGGGGGCCCGCACAAACGGAGGAACAUGUGGUUUAAUUCGAUGAUACGCGAGGAACCUUACCCGGGCUCAAACGUCGGGCGAAUCAUCCUGAAAGGGGUGAGCCAGCAAUGGUGGCCGACGAGGUGCUGCAUGGUUGUCGUCAGCUCGUGCCGUGAGGUGUCGGCUUAAGUGCCAUAACGAGCGCAACCCCCGCGUCCAGUUGCCAGCGAGUAGAGUCGGGCACUCUGGACGGACUGCCGGCGCAAGCCGCGAGGAAGGCGGGGAUGACGUCAAAUCAGCACGGCCCUUACGUCCGGGGCGACACACGUGUUACAAUGGCGUGGAACAGAGGGAAGCCACUUGGCGACAGGGAGCGGAACCCGAAAACACGUCUCAGUUCGGAUUGGAGUCUGCAACUCGACUCCAUGAAGCUGGAUUCGCUAGUAAUCGCGCAUCAGCCAUGGCGCGGUGAAUACGUUCCCGGGCCUUGUACACACCGC